This 765-nucleotide ribosomal RNA is filed under the name Limosilactobacillus pontis. RNAcentral's name for it is "bacterial SSU rRNA". It matches the Rfam family "Bacterial small subunit ribosomal RNA", at positions 57 to 779 of the family's 1533-position model. Lineage: Bacteria; Bacillati; Bacillota; Bacilli; Lactobacillales; Lactobacillaceae. The record is from RNAcentral.
GCAGUCGAGCGCACUGGCCCAACUGAUAUGACGUGCUUGCACUGAUUUGACGAUGGAUUACCAGUGAGCGGCGGACGGGUGAGUAACACGUGGGCAACCUGCCCUGGAGCGGGGGAUAACAUUUGGAAACAGAUGCUAAUACCGCAUAAUAAUCAAAACCACAUGGUUUUGAUUUCAAAGAUGGCUUCGGCUAUCACUCCAGGAUGGGCCCGCGGUGCAUUAGCUAGUUGGUAAGGUAACGGCUUACCAAGGCGAUGAUGCAUAGCCGAGUUGAGAGACUGAUCGGCCACAAUGGAACUGAGACACGGUCCAUACUCCUACGGGAGGCAGCAGUAGGGAAUCUUCCACAAUGGGCGCAAGCCUGAUGGAGCAACACCGCGUGAGUGAAGAAGGGUUUCGGCUCGUAAAACUCUGUUGUUGAAGAAGAACGUGCGUGAGAGUAACUGUUCACGCAGUGACGGUAUUCAACCAGAAAGUCACGGCUAACUACGUGCCAGCAGCCGCGGUAAUACGUAGGUGGCAAGCGUUAUCCGGAUUUAUUGGGCGUAAAGCGAGCGCAGGCGGUUACUUAAGUCUGAUGUGAAAGCCUUCGGCUUAACCGAAGAAGUGCAUCGGAAACUGGGUGACUUGAGUGCAGAAGAGGACAGUGGAACUCCAUGUGUAGCGGUGGAAUGCGUAGAUAUAUGGAAGAACACCAGUGGCGAAGGCGGCUGUCUGGUCUGCAACUGACGCUGAGGCUCGAAAGCAUGGGUAGCGAACAGGAUU